GCGUGAGUGACGAAGGCCUUAGGGUUGUAAAGCUCUUUUGGCGGGGACGAUAAUGACGGUACCCGCAGAAUAAGCUCCGGCUAACUUCGUGCCAGCAGCCGCGGUAAUACGAAGGGAGCUAGCGUUGUUCGGAAUCACUGGGCGUAAAGCGCACGUAGGCGGAUUGCUAAGUCAGGGGUGAAAUCCCGGGGCUCAACCUCGGAACUGCCUUUGAUACUGACAAUCUCGAGUCCGGAAGAGGUGGGUGGAAUUCCUAGUGUAGAGGUGAAAUUCGU
Molecule: ribosomal RNA, 275 nt
Filed under: uncultured bacterium
Lineage: Bacteria
Description: partial 16S ribosomal RNA
Rfam family: Bacterial small subunit ribosomal RNA
Source: RNAcentral